AUGAAGCAUCCAUUGACGGCGACGAAGUUCUCAUCACAUCCAAUUCCAAUUCCAUAUUUUAUUAGGGUGGAAUGACAGCCACUUGGAGAAAGCAUUGUGAGAGUGGGAAUUAGAUGAGAUUUAUGAGCAUAAAUUCGGGGCCACUACUUAGAUUUGCUAUAUAUUGCUAAGAAAUGGAUUGGUGUAGGAAAAAUUUACCAUGUAUCAUUAGGAAAC
RNAcentral lists this long non-coding RNA (216 nucleotides) under Medicago truncatula (barrel medic). RNAcentral's name for it is "long non-coding RNA (MTRU_LNC006628)". Lineage: Eukaryota; Viridiplantae; Streptophyta; Magnoliopsida; Fabales; Fabaceae. The record is from RNAcentral.